RNAcentral lists this transfer RNA (77 nucleotides) under Actinomycetota bacterium. RNAcentral describes it as "tRNA-Asp". It matches the Rfam family "tRNA". Rfam says of the family: Transfer RNA (tRNA) molecules are approximately 80 nucleotides in length. The record is from RNAcentral. Lineage: Bacteria; Bacillati; Actinomycetota.
GCCGCCGUAGCUCAGCCAGGGGUAGCGCCGGCCCGUCAAGCCGGAGGUCGCGGGUGCAAGUCCCGUCGGUGGCGCCA